This 72-nucleotide transfer RNA is filed under the name uncultured archaeon. RNAcentral's name for it is "tRNA-Ala(tgc)". It matches the Rfam family "tRNA". From Rfam's summary of the family: Transfer RNA (tRNA) molecules are approximately 80 nucleotides in length. Their secondary structure includes four short double-helical elements and three loops (D, anti-codon, and T loops). The record is from RNAcentral.
GGGCUGGUAGCUCAGUAGUAGAGCGCCGCAUUUGCAAUGCGGAGGUCCAGGGUUCGAAUCCCUGCCAGUCCA